AUCGUAAUAGUAAAAAAAUAAUAGAUAUAUACAUAUAAAACGUGUAGUCUCGAUGAUGUGGACACGUAAUUGAAAACUUGGGAAGACCAGCUUGAUUUACGUGCGCCUCGUACGUAAGGCUAUGAAAUGCAUUAAUGCUAUAUCGUCGUACAUACAUAUAUACGAUAUACAUAUAUACGAUUUAAUCAAAUCGAAUCGAUUGAGUGACAUCGUAUUGCGAAAAGAGACCGGUUGUAAUUUAAGAAUCAAGGUGAUUGCUGAUUAGGUCGUCAUUAACGCGAUCGCGUGCGAAUAUACAAUCUGAUUGUUUGAAAGUAAAAAAUUUACUCUCUCAGCGAAGAGCAGGAGAUAAAAAUAUUUCGCUUAACAUAUAUUAAUGUAUGGUUGUUAACAACGACGAGAAAAAAUGGAGAAGAAAAACCAAAGGACAAAAGUAAAAUCUAUGAAGCGCAAACACGAAAUAGCAGCUAAUGUGAGUUAGCUCGAUGAUGGAACGUUCACGAUUAAAUAGCGCAUCGCAUCGGGUCGUUUUUUUCUAAGAGUCGCUAAAAAGCGUACGUUCUAUCUCCCUUCUUCCAAGCUCGCCUCGAUAACUCGUUCCAGAGCGCUGUUUCGAGGGUGCAUUGAAAAUCUAAAGAGAAAGGGAAGCUCGUUCGUCGCUCGUCGUGAGAGUCGGUGCAGCCAAAGACGGAGACUAGAGGGACUUUUUCCAAUUGAAAUUAAUGGAAGAAUGGUGGUUUGUUUUAUCGCAACGUCAAAUUCGACGUCAUGGAAUUGUAUAAACGGCGCAGUUAUCGAUACGAAUGGGACGUGAGGGGACAUUUAAGACUAAGGAGUCAUCGAUAUAUAUCUAUACAUCUAUAGAGGAGGAGGAGACUUAAGUAUUCGUCGUACAAUAAGAAUAUGAAAAUACAUAUGUAUAUAUACGUACGUAUGUGUUUUUACAAUUAGGUACGAAGAAACGAGUACGAGUUUAUACGAACGAUAUAGAAGACGUUUAGGAGACCUACCGAAAGUUUUGUCACGGAGAAUAGUCCGAUUCUACAUGGACGAGCAAAAUCGACUAAAGGAACGAGGAAUGUUGAGAAAAGUAUUCUGGAGAUUCGAUAUCGAGAAGGAAUUCGUACGGUGCUUGGAACGUAAAAGAUAAAUAAAGGAUACGUUCGAUAUCGAAUGGAUCAAAUUCUUUUUCAUUAUCACGUUCGGAAGAACGCAGAGAAGAAAAGUAUAAAUACAAGUCAAUCGAAGAGAGUUUUUAACGUAAAAAAAUAAUCGGACCCAAGUAGGAUGACUUAGACGUUAUACACGUAUCGAUAGGUGUGUUACGUAAAAACGAACCACUGUAUAUCUAUACAGGAUGAUGAUCCCUAUGACAAAAUGGCAAACUGUAAUGAAAUUUCGCGAUAUUAAUUAUAUAUUAUAAAUAUACAAAAGGAUUUAAACGCAGCAAAUUUGAAGGAUUAACGCGUUUCUCUUUGAAGAACGGUCUAGGUAUAUAAUCUUUUUUUCUUCCGUUCUUUUCUUUUUUCCCAAAUCGGCUUUGCGUUUGCAUAUGAUUCCGAAUAUAUGUACGCGAUCGAUGAAUACGAUGAUGCUCGAAUGAUACCCUAAUGCAAUUAAUGACGGAAUACCGAUCGUAAUUAUCUCCAAUAGAAAUCAUCGUGAAGCGCACAUUUUGCGGUUUUACGAUCGAACGAAUCGGGCCUGAACGACAUCGUAUAUCUACAUAUACGAGUAUAAUCUGUGAAGUGUAAUUCGUGUGCAUCGUAAAGCUCUCUGUCCGUACCGUUUUCACCCUUCUCUCUCUCCCUCUUUGCGAGAUACUGUCAAUCGAUAACGCGGAGUAGUCACGUGAUUGGCAAGGACCCCGGAAGUAGCGAAGUUGCGAUUUCAAAAUCUUCCGAUCUAAUCGCGAUUUAAUUACCUACCCGCCUACCGUUACAAUCCGUUAAAUCGGUUUUCCUUUAUCGUGGAAGAUUCUAAUGAACUCUUCCUUCCUCCCUCCCGUCCAUCCAUCCAUCCUUCUCUCUCUUUCUCUCGUUCUUUCGGAAAAGCACAACGGUUGCCAAAUUAAUAAUUUAAUCGGCCACUCCGUCGAAAGUUCAGAAAACUUUGGAAAAUUUCUUUGCGCUUAAAGACUCGCUGUUUCUAAAAGAGAGAGAGAGAGAGAGAGAGAGAGAGAGAGAGUGAGAGCGAUUAGAACAGGAACAGCUGUGGCCAGUCUCACGUGCGAUCGCUCGAAAGAAAUAAUUCACGGGACGUGGAGGAACUCGAGAUAGAUAGGGAGUAAUCGGAGAAGAUAUUAAAAAAAGAAGAAGAAGAAGAAGAAGAAGAAGAAGAAGAGAAGAAGUGUAUUUUUUGUAACUCACUUCGACAAGGAUACCCUUGAAAUUCUGGCUCAUCGUGACGCUGCCGAGUUUGACGCAAAAGUCCCCAAUCUCAAAGCGUGGGCCCUUAGAUUCGAUCUUGGUUUGUUUUUUGCUCGUAUAAAUGCUCGUCAUCUUCAUCAUCAGAAGAUCGAAGAGACCAUCUGCGAUCAAUGGUACUAUCUUAUUGCCAGACUCGAGAAGAGCGAAAACAGAGGCUGGUUGUUCCGAGUUGUGUAGUACAUGAACGGUUCUUUGAACACCUGUAAACGUAAAGAAUAAAUAUUUAAGCUCUUCUUCUUUCAGACCUCUAAUGUAAAAUAUAAAUCGAUUGAUGACUCCAAGGAGGUCGGAGAAACGUCUUAAUAAUUAUUUUACGUAGCUUCGUUAAAAGUUUUGCAACUUUUGGGAUGGAAAGAGCUGAGAGACAUUGUAAAUACACAACUAGAUUCUUUGCUGUUAACACCGUGGAAGAUCGAACGCGGAAACGCAUAUUGAAAUGCAGUCAAAGUUACACGAUGCUAGUGGUUCGUUUAACGUGCAUCACGUUGCUCGUAUCGGCACGAUAGUUCAGGCGCACAUGUAGUACAUCAAGAAGGGAACUUAAACUCGAAUCUAACUUAAACUUUGAACUUGCCGUCGAAGUUGCAUCCUGUUUGUACGUCGUCGAGUAGCAUGCGCGAAUCCAUAGAAGCGAAAACUACCGAGAUCGGUAGUUUAUUCGCCAUUGGAAAUGGGUUUUUCUCUUUCUCUCUCUCUCCCUCUCUCUCUCCCUGUUUUCUUUUGAGCGAAGCGGCACGAAUAGAUUUUCAAAAGUAUCGUAAAAGCGUGCGAAAUGAAAUACGUAAAUCGUGUAUGCUCAGACGGUUGAAAUUUUCUUUAUGAGCGCACGAUGGAAAUGCCGCGAGCAUAUUUUUAUCGAGAAUUAUUUGGAUAAAAAACAUCGACGUACAUCUGCUGGAUGUUCCAAAUGUAUUGGAAUGAAAUCACUGUAUUGGAUUUAAUUAUUAGCUGAUAUCCAGGGAUAAUUAUCGAUGUGCUUUUUUACCAAUAAAAUAAUCAAUAUCGAAAGACGGGAGUAGCGAAUAAUUGAGCAUUAUGUUAAUACGAAAAGAUAUAUGUAUAUCGAACCGAUUGAGGUAUACAGAGCUCGUACGGAUCCAGAUAUAUCAUCUGCCCCAUGCAUGUAUCUAUGAGUAUAGAUCAAAUCAGGAUGCUGUUGAUGUGUAUCGCGAAAGGUUUAACGCGCAAUUCCCCGAAAUAUAUGACGUGCGAAAUUCUCUGAAUAUUCAUAAUUCGCUGGCUAUUCUCUCUCUCUCUCUCUCUCUCUCUCUCUCUCUCUCUCUCUCUCUCUCUCUUACUCCGUACUUCGUCCACAUAAUAGCAGCGGGCUUAUACAGUUUCCGCUCUGACCGAUGCACCAUGAAUUAUUUACGCGUCGCUGUUAUAACCGGCUGUCCUCGCGGCCACGUCGAACGACAAAAUUUCUUAAUUGCGGCUCGCGUCGCGUGCGCGUACGCAGUAAUUUUCGAUCUCUCGGUAGCAUUAUUUAUAGCUCAUCGACAAGUUUAAUAAUUAACUUUUCAUAAUUAUAGAUUAAUCCGAGUGCGGCUCCACAUGAAGGUGGACGGGAAACGAGUAGCGCAUCGCAAGUAGUUCGAAACUAAUUGCAAUUGGCGAUAAAUCGUGGAAAUUGCAUUCUCCGACGCGAACCGAUUGCAUCUUGUUCGGCCGCUUGCUCGCAGGAGAGCUCGAUAAAAAGUAUAUCCCAGUAAUGUAAAUCGUGACUUUUGAUAAACGAAAUAACGAGAUUAUCGGUCGGCAGAGCUCCUACAAAAGGUUCUUUCACCACGUGUGAAAAGGAAAUAAUUAAAAGAGUGGGAGAAAAGGAAAAUCGUCCGUUCGCCGUUGGAUCCAGUCGAUGGAUCCAGCCGAAUAAGCGAUAUACCUAUAUCGUCUUUAACGGCUAUAAGAGAAAACAACGAGGCUACAUAAGCUCUUACCCUGGAUGAGUACGAAUUAACGAAGGCCCUCUGAUUAUUAACUCCGACCCUCUUUCAUCUUCUCUCGCAACUCAUCCUCCCUCAAGCGCCCCUCGAAGGAUGGACAAGGCACGGAGAUGAGGCACGGACGAGGCGGCUUUCCCGGGCCGAUCUGGCCCGGUAGAUACACCAACGGUUUACACCAACGAUCGUACGGCCCUGUGACGCGCCGCAUGCCGCAUACCGCAUUGUCUGCAUCGCACGUAUGCGCCGUUCUCUGUUACACGGAUGCGCUCUCGUGCGGAGGCCGGCGCAAACGCUGCGAAAGCACCAGAAUCUAUCUCGCGCGUCUCACUUUCGAGAGGGAGGUCACCGAGCAAUUAUACAUUAGAGGAGCGCAUCGAGUCGAAAUAAAUAACAUUGUGGUCCACCUCUAAUUUCGUCUAGAAUCAUUUCGGUUGCACUUUGUCCGCUCGUUUGUCCGCUCGUUAGGCAGCUUGCCUUUCGAGUUUGCGCUACUUAACCGAAUAUCCCGGGCAAAUUCGAAUUCGUUCGAAUCGACGGAAUCGUUUUUGGCGAUUAAUUAAAUCAUUGCAAUUUCCUAUGUAAAUAUAUAUUUCACUUUAUCUUUUUCUUAUCUGUGUCUUCGAUGGAGCUACGUAAGCUCCUUAAAAAGAAGAGAAAAGAAAAGAAGAAGAAAAACAAAACAAAAAAGAAAAGAAAAUAAAAUCCUUCCGAGGUUUCGCCCAUCAGUCGUUCUUCCCGGGCUAAUUAGAAAGGGUUCGUGAGUCCACCUGAUAAAAUUAAAAAUGCAUAUCCUCUAUUCUGUUUCUCUAUUGAACCGUAUUCCACGUUCAAUAUAAAAGAGAAGAUGGAUGUACCGAUUUUCCUUUUUUCUAUUUCUCGUUCUCAUUUAUUGCGAACGGACGCCAAUGCCCGAUAGGACGCAAUAUUCUCCUUUUAUCAAGCAUGUCCACGCUUCGGCCCAUUAAUUACGACUCGCCCCCGACGGCAACACCGACUCGUCGAGAUUGCACCUGUUUUUGUCCGAUGAGAAGUAUAUCCACCGAGCCCGACGCAAUUUCGUUUCGUGCCACGCGCUACCGUAUCACCGCGUAGAACAACUGCUGGUAUAGUUCUGCCAUAGUGAAAUGUCAUUAAUGAAGCGUCAGCGUACCAUAAAUCGACCGUAAUUUUCAUUCUCUAUCAGCUUCGAAUAAAUUAAGAGGAUUUCAAUUUCUCUAUACGCUUGAUCUAAGCUCGGAGAAUAUUGAAUAACGAACGAGAGACGUUUAUAGAAAAACACUGAGAAAUUUUAAGGAAAGAGUCUUAUUCUUUCUCUCUACCUCUCCAAAUGGAAAGAUCUUUUCGAAAAAGAAGAAGAAGAAGAAGAAGAAGAAGAAGAAGAAGAAUAAAAAGGUCUUCUCUCAAUUCUCGAAAAGUAUCUCGCCCUCGCUGUCUCCUUUUCCCUUCUUUCUAACCGAAUUGACGUUUCUAUCGACGUGCAGCGGUAAUAACUUCAGUUUCCGAUGAUGACGGCCGAUCGAUCAAAGUGUCGUCUCUUGUAUUCGUUCGAUUUCCGGCCCGAAGAACAAUCGUGGCGUGCAAACGCGACCUUACCGUACCUACGGCCUUUCCAUGUUAAUUUCAAUUUCAUAGGAAUACGCGAACGACGAUCGAUAACGGGACGAAAUGUAAAAUUGAAUCUGGCCAUUGAAAAAAAAAAAAAAAAAAAUAAAGUAAUAACGUUUACGGCGACAGUUUAUCGAGCUUAUUUAAUAUUUUCGUUACUUACAUUGUAAGACUUCGAAUCAUCUGUCAGAGAAAUCAAGAGAGGCACACUUGGAAGAUUCAAAGACCUUCCUCGUUACGGGGCUUCUUAACGUGGCAUUGUUCUACACACGAUGUUGAUUCGACCCCUUUUUAUUAUCCUCGUGUCGCUCCAGAAAUGAAUAUGAGCGUCGCAUGCCAUGUAUUUUAAUUGUCGCAAAAGAACAUACUUUUUCUUUUGUCUUUCUCCCUUUUUCCUAACGCGAAACUCCAUUAAAGUUAACGACAAUUACAACGUCAGAAAUCGAUAAUAAAUCGAUCAAUGGCCACGCGAGAUAAUGAUUUAGCGAACAUAUCAUAAUAGAAUAAGGUCGAAAAAGAGAAGGUGUUAUUCGAUCGCUUUCCUAUUCGACGAGAUUUGCAAUCGCUUUAUUAAAAGUAUCAGCUGUUGCCAGUAGCUAACGCUAUCUUCGUCGCGAAAGUUUAUAAACUCGGUAUCUCUUAUUCUUUAAGAAGAGAAAUAUGCGGAUAAGGGAAGACGUUUCGAUCGUACGAACGACGAUGACUCUUCGACAAAUUAUUAUGGAUAGUACUAAGGGGUGCAGUCGCGCAUCGUCGCGCUCCCUUAUUCAAGAAGACCGUUCCGACCAUAAUCGACCGUCUUCUUUUAUAGGCGGAACGUGCCAAACGGCUCUCCAUAAUCGCGACAAAUUGAAAUUUGAUAUACAUGCGCGAUCGAUCGAUGAGAAAUAAUGCGAGACGAACUUUCGAUUCGUUUCCUCAUCGAAUCGAUGAUCUUCGAGAGAUAAAAGAAAAGAAAGUCAAAAUAAAAAAAUGAUGUGAUCACGAGAAGUCGUGAUAAUUUUUACUUUUCUUAUUCCCCACUCGACCAUGACACUUUGGAAAUUGUCAAAUUCUAUUGUAUUUGAUCGGACCCCUGCUAUUUGAAAACUUGCCCCAAUCACGAUGAGAAGGAUCUGGCGGGAGACCCAACAUUGGGUUGGUCCUUAUUGUCGAGCAAUUUAUUUU
Long non-coding RNA from Vespa mandarinia (Asian giant hornet), 7147 nucleotides. The record is from RefSeq and is a predicted model, not a curated record. NCBI's taxonomy places the organism in Eukaryota, Metazoa, Arthropoda, Insecta, Hymenoptera, Vespidae.